This 492-nucleotide ribosomal RNA is filed under the name uncultured bacterium. RNAcentral describes it as "partial 16S ribosomal RNA". It matches the Rfam family "Bacterial small subunit ribosomal RNA", at positions 29 to 507 of the family's 1533-position model. The record is from RNAcentral.
AUUGAACGCUGGCGGCAUGCUUUACACAUGCAAGUCGAACGGUAACAGGCCUUCGGGUGCUGACGAGUGGCGAACGGGUGAGUAAUGCAUCGGAACGUACCCAGAGGUGGGGGAUAACGCAGCGAAAGCUGUGCUAAUACCGCAUGUGAUCUGAGGAUGAAAGCGGGGGACCGAGCAGCAAUGUUUGGCCUCGCGCCUUUGGAGCGGCCGAUGUCGGAUUAGCUAGUUGGUAGGGUAAAGGCCUACCAAGGCGACGAUCCGUAGCUGGUCUGAGAGGACGACCAGCCACACUGGGACUGAGACACGGCCCAGACUCCUACGGGAGGCAGCAGUGGGGAAUUUUGGACAAUGGGCGCAAGCCUGAUCCAGCAAUGCCGCGUGCGGGAAGAAGGCCUUCGGGUUGUAAACCGCUUUUGGCAGGAACGAAACGGUGUCCGCUAAUACCGGGCGCUAAUGACGGUACCUGCAGAAUAAGCACCGGCUAACUACGUG